GGCACAGGUCAGUACUUCUGUUUUUCCAUGGAAAUCACAUUCUAAAUAUCAAAAGGAAUGUGAGGACAACAAAAAGACAAAUUAAUUUGCUCUGCUGAAGGGUGGAUUUUUGUAAUGAAAUGAGCAGGGUGUUAUAAAGCAGAAAUGAUCUGAUGAUGCACAGCAAUGAUUUAUCUGCUCAGCAGAGAUUACAAACAAAAAAGACCCCUGGCUUUGCUGCUGUUGCUGGCCAGUGCCAGGAUAAACGAUGAUGAACAUUCCCAUUGACAUGUGGAAAAAAACACUUGUUUAAAGAGAAGGAUUUGCAGAGCAGGCUUCUUGCCUCCCCUCUGUUGAACUUUCCUGCUGGUGGCUCUGAAUGCAAAGAAGCUAUGAAGACUUCACCUCCGUGUUGUGCUACCUCCUGUGUCAUUUGCAAGCAAUGAGGACAGACACGUGGUUCAGACAUGGAACCAAGUUCAAGUGCAAAAGCUCAGCACUGCAUGCUGAGGGCUCUCUCACAGCCCCAACACCCCAGGUUCUGCCUCUCCGGUGUUGCUGUUGUCCCUUUCGUGGGUGAUGUUUACUGCCUCUCAGGAGUGAGAGAAGCACCAUCUCUGGAGCAGAUAUCUCUGAAGGAAACAGGAGCUGCUGUUCUGUGGCAUUCAUCCUGUAAAUCCAGAUACAUUUUUUCUUUGUACUUUUUCAAGAUCGUAUUUACAAAACAUUUGAAGAACAGGCGCAAUGACAGUUUAAUUAAUGUGUGUCAUUAAGCCUGGAGAUAAUCGAAACUCUGGUAAGUCUUUAAUCUUGUAGAAAAGAAUCAGAGUGCGCUGAAACAUCUCCUGCUAUCUGUGAACCUCGUAAUGCGGUGCUGCAUCCUUAAAGGAGGAGCCAUGGAAAGGAACAGCGCCAGAAGAUGUGUUCUCAGCAGAUUUCAUCACUGGACUCGAGGGAUAUUGUUCUUGGCAAGGAGGAUGUGACUGAAAUCCAAAGGGAUCAAAACGUGUUCUUCUGCUAUCAGUGUAUAAAGUGGCCCUACUAAUUUGUGGAGAUUUAGCUUCUUUGC
This 1048-nucleotide long non-coding RNA is filed under the name Gallus gallus (chicken). RNAcentral's name for it is "lncRNA (ENSGALG00010013513.1)". The record is from RNAcentral. Lineage: Eukaryota; Metazoa; Chordata; Aves; Galliformes; Phasianidae.